GAUGAACGCUAGCUACAGGCUUAACACAUGCAAGUCGAGGGGCAGCACAGUGUAGCAAUACACGGGUGGCGACCGGCGCACGGGUGCGUAACGCGUAUCCAACCUUCCCGAUACUCUUGGAUAGCCUUCCGAAAGGGAGAUUAAUACAAGAUGGUGUUUCACUUUCGCAUGUUAUUGAAACUAAAGAUUUAUCGGUAUCGGAUGGGGAUGCGUGACAUUAGAUAGUAGGCGGGGUAACGGCCCACCUAGUCUACGAUGUCUAGGGGUUCUGAGAGGAAGGUCCCCCCACACUGGAACUGAGACACGGUCCAGACUCCUACGGGAGGCAGCAGUGAGGAAUAUUGGUCAAUGGUCGGAAGACUGAACCAGCCAAGUAGCGUGAAGGAUGAAGGUUCUAUGGAUUGUAAACUUCUUUUAUACGGGAAUAAAGCCCACUACGUGUAGUGGUUUGUAUGUACCGUAUGAAUAGCAUCGGCUAACUCCGUGCCAGCAGCCGCGGU
RNAcentral lists this ribosomal RNA (500 nucleotides) under uncultured bacterium. RNAcentral describes it as "bacterial SSU rRNA". It matches the Rfam family "Bacterial small subunit ribosomal RNA", at positions 28 to 521 of the family's 1533-position model. The record is from RNAcentral.